GAUGAAGAAUGUAGCGAAAUGCGAUAAGUGAUGUGAAUUGCAGAAUUCAGUGAAUCAUCGAAUCUUUGAACGCACAUUGCGCCCGCUGGUAUUCCGGCGGGCAUGCCUGUUCGAGCGUCAUUUCAACCCUCAAGCUCUCCGGAGUUUGGUGUUGGGGCGCCUGGGGCUUUUCGACCUCAGGGCCCUCAAGUCCAUCGGCGGGACCGCCAGGACACUGAGCGCAGUAGUAUUAUUUCGCUCGGUAGGAUCUUCCACGGCGGGUCGAUCUGGCCGCUAAACCCCCCAAUUCUCACCAAAGGUUGACCUCGGAUCAGGUAGGAAUACCCGCUGAACUUAAGCAUAUCAAUAAGCGGAGGA
This 357-nucleotide unclassified non-coding RNA is filed under the name soil metagenome. Its description in RNAcentral is "partial contains 5.8S ribosomal RNA, internal transcribed spacer 2, and large subunit ribosomal RNA". The stretch from base 1 to 120 matches the Rfam family "5.8S ribosomal RNA", at positions 35 to 154 of the family's 154-position model. The record is from RNAcentral.